CGAUGAUCCGGUGCUUGCACCGGGGAUUAGUGGCGAACGGGUGAGUAACACGUGAGUAACCUGCCCUUGACUCUGGGAUAAGCCUGGGAAACUGGGUCUAAUACCGGAUAUGACUCCUCAUCGCAUGGUGGGGGGUGGAAAGCUUUUGUGGUUUUGGAUGGACUCGCGGCCUAUCAGCUUGUUGGUGAGGUAAUGGCUCACCAAGGCGACGACGGGUAGCCGGCCUGAGAGGGUGACCGGCCACACUGGGACUGAGACACGGCCCAGACUCCUACGGGAGGCAGCAGUGGGGAAUAUUGCACAAUGGGCGCAAGCCUGAUGCAGCGACGCCGCGUGAGGGAUGACGGCCUUCGGGUUGUAAACCUCUUUCAGUAGGGAAGAAGCGAAAGUGACGGUACCUGCAGAAGAAGCGCCGGCUAACUACGUGCCAGCAGCCGCGGUAAUACGUAGGGCGCAAGCGUUAUCCGGAAUUAUUGGGCGUAAAGAGCUCGUAGGCGGUUUGUCGCGUCUGCCGUGAAAGUCCGGGGCUCAACUCCGGAUCUGCGGUGGGUACGGGCAGGCUAGAGUGAUGUAGGGGAGACUGGAAUUCCUGGUGUAGCGGUGAAAUGCGCAGAUAUCAGGAGGAACACCGAUGGCGAAGGCAGGUCUCUGGGCAUUAACUGACGCUGAGGAGCGAAAGCAUGGGGAGCGAACAGGAUUAGAUACCCUGGUAGUCCAUGCCGUAAACGUUGGGCACUAGGUGUGGGGAACAUUCCACGUUUUCCGCGCCGUAGCUAACGCAUUAAGUGCCCCGCCUGGGGAGUAC
RNAcentral lists this ribosomal RNA (805 nucleotides) under Arthrobacter sp. Its description in RNAcentral is "bacterial SSU rRNA". It matches the Rfam family "Bacterial small subunit ribosomal RNA", at positions 67 to 883 of the family's 1533-position model. Lineage: Bacteria; Bacillati; Actinomycetota; Actinomycetes; Micrococcales; Micrococcaceae. The record is from RNAcentral.